AAGUCUUGACACGAGGUAAAUACCAUUCUGCUCGUUCUGAAAUUUUCCUACGUAAAACAGUUCCGGAGACUUUUCACGAAAGGAGAUCCCAAUGCAAGUAGUUCCUGUGUCCACAUUCAACCUCGCCAAUCCUCCUCCCGAUCCUCUGCUUUCUUUGCAGCAGACAGUGUUUAACGAAGAAAAGGCUGCGUUUGAGAAAGCGAUGCAUCAAAGCAAACAGUUAAGUCAUUCCUGCUCAACUUCUUGACAAGUUGUUUCUCUCUUUCUUUCUUCUUGGUUCUCUAGGGGGCAGCGAAUCCAUCCUUUGGCAGCUUCACACCACUGCGUGACACACCAGGCGGCCCUUUUGAAACUUAUGGAACUCUGGUACUCGCAGUUUUUCUGUUUCCUUUCACGCUCUUCAUUCGGGUUCUUUCUCUAGCCUUGUGCCUGCAAUGACGACGCUGUGGGACAACCUCCAGCAGAACAAAGCGCAGGUGAAAAAUCUGUCUGGAUCUUGUUCAGAGCGUGCGAAGUAUUAAGUUUGCUCGUUUCCUGUGCAGAUUGCGCUACUGCAUCAGGAAGAAGCAGCGCUUGGCCUUAGAUUCGAUCGGCAGGCAGCCAGGAAACAAGCCGGACAUGAUGGCACGCGAUGGAACUCAGAACGUACUCAGCAAAGAAUUCCCGAUUCUGAUCAACGUGUCCGAGGAAACACCGUAUGACGUGCUCUUAGUUUCCGCAAAGAGAUUGAAGAGGUCCCUCCAGUCGUAGGCAAGCAAAGUUUCGGAAGCUUCAACUCGGAGGCUUCUUCCGCUCGACGAGUUCAUGUAAGCCUUUUGUUAUUCUGAUCAUAGAAGUUGGAUGUUGCGGAUCCAGAGAGGCUACUUCAUGAAGCCCUCUAGAGUUCUCUUUGUCAUUGUGAAGCUUGAGAAUUCUGCAUGAUAAACUCCUUCAGGAUGUUUGUAACAUUUAAACACAAUUAAUUAUUUAAUAAUCAUGUUUAAGAGAUUCACGAAAAUGUGAUAGGGUAAGGCAAACACGAUCACCUGCUGCCCAUUCUAAAUUCUUCCUUCUCCUUGUGUGGGGAUGGGAGUGGAGGAGUUGACCUAGUAGCAUUUACUAAAUCUAACUUUGGUGUGUUUGGCUUUUACAGUAGAAUUGUAUUUUGUCAUGUGCACUUUGAAUAUUUUUAUUCAAAACAUAGUGUCUACUGAAUGUUUACUCAAUGAUAGUGGAAAUUAAUUGCUAGGAUAUUAUUACACCAUAUUUCUUCUACUUCAUAACCAUAUAUUUAAGAAAUGCCCAAAAAUUGAUUAUCACUUUGUUAUCAUCCACUCAUACAGCUUGAUAAUAGGUAAGAAUUUGGUCACAAAAUUUUUGUGAUAUAUAGUUCUCAAAUUGAUAGCUUUACAUCAUUUGAAGAUGGCAUGACACCAAAAAUAAAAAAACACUAUGUAAUUACAUCUCAUAAAAGACGAUGAUGCAAAUACACUAGAAUAUGAGUUGGGUUUAGACCAUUAUAAAAUAGAUUCAUUUUACCCUAUUGAUGAGUUGUAUUACAAUAAUAGUUCCACUUAGUAUGAAAGAAAUUGUUAAUUUAUGCAAUAUAAUCAUAUAAGCAUAUAUAUGGAUAUUUACUUUCUUGGUAGAUGAUAACAAUAUUAUUUUACUAAAGUUUCAAUAUAGAUUAAACAAGUUUAGGGUUAAGGUUUAUGAGUAGGUGGAUUUAAGGUUUAAGGGUGAUUUAUUUUUUUUAUCAAUAUAUAUAUAGUUGUGUUUGCAAUUUAUGAUGCAAUCCACAUUUCAUUCUCUCAUUAUUUGGUGGUCGAUUCAAAAAUUCCAGAGCUAAAAUAAUCAUAAAGUCAUGCAUUUUAAUUAAUAAAUUUUUUAUAAAGGAAAUAUUUAGAAAAAAAUUUAAUGUUAAACUUUAUGCAGAUAAUAUUUUGCCAAAAACUUUAACAAUGACUUUCACAAAUAUAUCAUAUCAUCUAAUAUUGUUUAACAAUAGUAAAAUUAAGUAUAUUUAACUUUUAUUUAAAGCCAUAAUUUCACUAUAUCACAAGGAAUGUGAGUGAAAAAGGUUUUUAUAUGACAUUAAAAACAAGAAAAGAACAAAAAACACAAUUUUAAUAUACCAAUAUUUUAAAAUACAUUAUUUGACAUUGUUAAUUGCAAUUACAAUUUUUUAUAAUACUAAUAACAAGAAGUACCUUAAAUUUCCUCUAAUAUGUAGUAAUGCAUUUAUAUUUUUAAAAUUUAGAUCUUAUUAUAAAGAUAAAACUUGUGGCAUUGAAGACUCAAAUCUUAGUGAGUAUCAUGAACAAAUAAGUUAAUGGAUUAAUUUAACAUUUCUAUUAGAACUUUUGCACCACAACAUUAAAGAGGAAGAUAAAUAUUAAUAACAAAGGAUAAAAAUUAAAAUCUAUAACACCUAUAAAAUCAGCCAAGAUCAUUAAGUAAGUGCAGAAAAAACUUCAACAAAGGAAACUUAUGAAGAAAAUUAAUAAUGUUCUUUCUCUAAUUAUUUUUUAGUUUUUAAUUAGAUAUAGGGUCUUUAACAAAUUAUGUUUUAGAAGAAAUACUUCUCACCUAUAUUAAAAUACACUUUCUAUAAGUGUAUCUCAUAGGAAAAAUUAAUUUUUUAAAGGGAGGUAAUAUUUUUAAAAAAAUAUAUUUUAUAAUUACAAACAUUAGUGUGUUUCACAAGAAUUCUAUUUAUAAUUCAAUGUGUGAGAAUGCUGAAAGAUGGUGAAUAAUAAAAUUAUCUGGAAAAAUCAUUGUUGUUUUGAAGUCAAAAGAAAAUGUAAUAGCAACUAACUCUAUCUCAUACUUAUCUGACUUUUUAAAUAUCCAUAAUGGAAAUACACAUAUGAGAAUUUAAAAAUUAUAAGCUUUAUUGAGAUAAUUGAUAAAAACAUGCAAAUAAAGAAUUUAAUGGUUCUUCGUAAAGAAUUAAUUUUCCUUAAAAAAAGUAUUUUUACCAUCCAAAAAACUUUCAGCAUUUUAAAAAUAAUUUUCUCUAAGGAGAAAAGUACCUAAGUGGAACAAAAUUUUUCAUUGAUCUUCACAUUAUCAAAAUUUAUUUACAUCAAAUAUUAAUGUGGCAAAUUUGGACAAAUAUUUCUAUCAUAAAUGUUUUUAUUACCUUAUAGAAAAUUUUAAUCUAUUAGAAAGGAAUUUUUAUUGAUCAGAAAAUGCAAAUUUCAUAUAUAUAUUAGGCAUUAUAUGUUGAAUAUAUGCAAAAUGGCCAUCCACAUUAAAUUAUAAUGCAAAUAGAAAAAAUAUAUAAAUUUGUGCAAAAAUUAUACAAGAUAAAUUAUUUAUUUAGACAUCAGAUUCUAAAUCAAUUGCCAUAUUAAAAAGAAUCACUUAUAUCUCAAAAUAUAAUCCCCUAAUGAAGUUAAGGGUUAAGGGAAUACAAGGAAUUAAUAUUUUUCUAUACAACUUAUACAAUUAAAUGAACACAUUUUUCAAGUACUUAUGUGACAUGCACUUGAUUAUUACAAAAGCUGAUUUGAUCAGUGAAAUUUAAAUGUUAGUCUCUAUUUUUUAUAUGAUUAUAGAGGGGCAUAUAAAAUUCAAUCCUAAAAGUUUCCUAGAAAAAUUAUUUAAGGGAACUAAUUUCUAAAGAAUUUUUGAUGGCAUAAUUUCUAAACAUAAUAACAUAUAAAGACUUUACAAAAAGGAUAAUUUUAAAAUUUUUUACUUUUUACUAGUCAAAACAUCAUGAACUAAUUACACAACACCAUGAACUUGAAACCAUCUAUUGUUUCACAACACAUGAAACUUGCCACAAAUCACUUAACCUUUAACAUACUUCCAAAACAAUAUUCAAUUUUAACAUAACUCUUAAAAGUCAUAGAUCUAAAUAAAGUGUGAUAUUUUAAAGUUGGAACAUGAUAUUUUGCCUUCCACACAGGACAACUCAUCUUCAAAAAAGUUGAUUCUCAACUAGAAAAAUACAGUGAACUUCUUUCAGAUCUAGCAUUGGAAGAAACAUAUACACCCCUGGUUCCAAGUCCACUCCGUCAAGAUUUUAUAUUAGUUUUUUAAUUGAUUAAUAAAAUGAGAAUCUGCGAGAAUGGCGAUGACACACGCGCUGUCGACGGGAGGAGGCUUCUCGUCCAGGACAAGAGCAAAGGCACGGUAGAGGCGCUCGUCUGGGGCGUUGUGCCACAAGCUAGCUCUGAUCGACGCAAGGAUUGCGUGGAGACUAAGCUUGUGGCGGCCAUGAUAUCCUCAAGGAACCUUUUGUUUUCUUGCUUCCUUAGUUAUUUCCUUGACUCUGGAAGCACAGAUUAUCUAGAAAUUGGAAACACGACCAGAGUUAUUGGCUGGUAUCAUUUACAUCCGCACAUCACUGUUCUUCCUUCUCAUGUUGGUGAGUUUCAUCCGCUCAGGACUCCAAUUUUGGUUUUGGUUCCAACGGGAACGGUCUUCCGGAUGAAGCCUCCUCGUCUCUCUCGGUACUUGAGCAUUUGUUGAAAGGGUCACAACUCUUUUCUUUUUUCUUCUUACAGACAGUUGUGGACAUCAACUAUACUCGUAGGAUAUCGGAUUCGUCAAGCAAUGAAAUCGAGCAGCGGCUUUCGCCAGGCAUCGAAGAAGCAAUGCAUCUUUCAAGUCUUGACAUGAGGUAAAUACCGUUCUGCUUUCCGUUCUGAAAUUUUCCUACGUAAAACAGUUCCGGAGACUUUUCACGAAAGGAGAUCCCAAUGCAAGUAGUUCCUGUGUCCACAUUCAACCUCGCCAAUCCUCCUCCCGAUCCUCUGCUUUCUUUGCAGCAGACAGUGUUUAACGAAGAAAAGGCUGCGUUUGAGAAAGCCAUGCAUCAAAGAAAACAGUUCAGUCAUUCCUGCUCAACUUCUUGACAAGUUAUUUCUCUCUUUCUUUCUUCUUGGUUCUCUAGGGGGCAGCGAAUCCAUCCUUUGGCAGCUUCACACCACUGCGUGACACACCAGGCG
This 4943-nucleotide long non-coding RNA is filed under the name Selaginella moellendorffii. RNAcentral describes it as "long non-coding RNA (SMOE_LNC001539)". The record is from RNAcentral. Lineage: Eukaryota; Viridiplantae; Streptophyta; Lycopodiopsida; Selaginellales; Selaginellaceae.